AAGAAACAAUUAGAAUACGGAAACGAAGGGUCAUUGGUGUAGGCAUCUGGUUUUAGAAAAUUCACUACUAGUUAGAGAAGUAUACUAAAGACUUCUACUCCUCAAGAAGAUCCGUAAAUCUCUGCCGACGGUACUAGUUUCCUGAAAGUUGGAGCACGUAGCACUAAUCACUCUAAUACAGGUGUAUAACCUGAUAGAGCGCCUGGACUAGGGCGAACGACACACAAGCAUGCUCUGCUGAAGGGAGCUGUUGAUCCACCACAAUCUCACACAAAGUUCUCACCUUUUCCUCCAGCUUCUUCUUCUCCUCACUAAACUGGUUUAGUUUUUGUUUGAGGAACUCAUUGAGCUGUGAAACUUCCUUCUCAGUCGAUGCUAGCUUUUGCUCCAGUUCUUCCUGUUGGGGAUGGGACAGUGACUGCUCUGAAAAUGGAGUCUGAACUGAACUGUUCUCAUGUGGCUAUUGGGAAAAAAGAACAGCAGGGCAAACACAGAAGGCAGAAGAUCAAUGAGGAUGCACUUGCUGGCACAGGCCAUCAAGCAGCCAGGUGAACCAGUAUCUAGACUACCCAUUCCUCAACUGCGCCACACUCUUCUCAAGUUCCUUUGCAACAGUCACCAGGAAAACAGCAUUCUAGUUCAUAAAUCAUAUUUCAUAAGCUGAGAACUCAUCAGAUACCUGCCUUCAGACCACAGGAUACGCAUCAACUCUGGAAGGACACCCUAAAAACUGAUGAUAGCUUAUUCUGUAUGUGUGUGGGAAAGGGAUAGAAAAGGACAAAGGGAGGGAAGCAGUUGAGCACCUUUUACAAACAAGCAUGAACUAUGCAAAUUCACCGUUGUUUCCACACAUUGACUGAAGGUGCUCUCGUGUUAUAAAUAAAGCACACUGUAGUACAGACUGA
Long non-coding RNA from Peromyscus eremicus (cactus mouse), 905 nucleotides. RefSeq lists it as uncharacterized. The transcript has 3 exons. Lineage: Eukaryota; Metazoa; Chordata; Mammalia; Rodentia; Cricetidae. The record is from RefSeq and is a predicted model, not a curated record.